RNAcentral lists this ribosomal RNA (253 nucleotides) under uncultured bacterium. Its description in RNAcentral is "partial 16S ribosomal RNA". It matches the Rfam family "Bacterial small subunit ribosomal RNA", at positions 524 to 776 of the family's 1533-position model. The record is from RNAcentral.
UACGGGGGGGGCAAGCGUUGUUCGGAAUUACUGGGCGUAAAGGGCUCGUAGGCGGCCAACUAAGGCGGACGUGAAAUCCCCAGGCUCAACCUGGGAACUGCGUCCGAUACUGGAUGGCUUGAAUCCGGGAGAGGGAUGCAGAAUUCCAGGUGUAGCGGUGAAAUGCGUAGAUAUCUGGAGGAAUACCGGUGGCGAAGGCGGCAUCCUGGACCGGCAUUGACGCUGAGGAGCGAAAGCCAGGGGAGCAAACGGG